Meriones unguiculatus (Mongolian gerbil) is the source of this 675-nucleotide long non-coding RNA. RefSeq lists it as uncharacterized. The record is from RefSeq and is a predicted model, not a curated record. Lineage: Eukaryota; Metazoa; Chordata; Mammalia; Rodentia; Muridae. The transcript has 3 exons.
UGAAGCCAACACUAUCCGAGGAGUGCUAAGAAUUGGGUUCUUGUUUCUGGAAAUCAAAAGGACUGAAUGGGAGUGAUUUUUCUGCUUCAGCAUCUUGAGGGCCUGGAUUACAGGUCUCAUUCCUGCCUCCACCUCCCUGAGUGCUUGGAUCACAGGUGUGCACCACCACACCCAGCUGUACAAUGAGACUUCAUCUCACUGCCUUUAGAAAGAGCUGUUUUCAAAAUGCUGAUUUACUGAUGGAGAUGAUGAGAAAACAGAACCCAAGCUUUGUACACUUGAACAAAUUAACACAGACACAGUGGAAAACAAUGUGGGUUCCAAAACGACCAAACAACUAAAACCAAACUUUCUUGUGACCCAGCCAUACCACUCCUGACUAUGCCCGUGAAGGAGAUGAAACUGGUAUGUGAUAGAGAUGUCUGCUCUGCCAUGCUUUCUGCAGCACUGUCCAUAGUAGCUGUCUUAGUUACUGUUCCAUUGUUGUGAAAAAAACACCGUGACCAAGGCAACUGAUAGUAAAAGUCUUUAAUUGUGGGCUUGCUUGCAUUUUCAGAGGGUUAAUCCAUGAUCAUGUUGAAGAGCAUGUCAGCAGGCAGGCAGGCAUACCGAUAUGAACUUUGAUUUUUCUCCCCCACAGACCAACUCCUUUUGUUUAGUUCAUGGAAAGGUAAU